This 451-nucleotide ribosomal RNA is filed under the name uncultured bacterium. RNAcentral describes it as "bacterial SSU rRNA". It matches the Rfam family "Bacterial small subunit ribosomal RNA", at positions 354 to 796 of the family's 1533-position model. The record is from RNAcentral.
GUGGGGAAUAUUGGACAAUGGGGGGAACCCUGAUUCAGCCAUGCCGCGUGUGUGAAGAAGGCCUUUUGGUUGUAAAGCACUUUAAGCGAGGAGGAGGCUACCGAGAUUAAUACUCUUGGAUAGUGGACGUUACUCGCAGAAUAAGCACCGGCUAACUCUGUGCCAGCAGCCGCGGUAAUACAGAGGGUGCAAGCGUUAAUCGGAUUUACUGGGCGUAAAGCGCGCGUAGGUGGCCAAUUAAGUCAAAUGUGAAAUCCCCGAGCUUAACUUGGGAAUUGCAUUCGAUACUGGUUGGCUAGAGUAUGGGAGAGGAUGGUAGAAUUCCAGGUGUAGCGGUGAAAUGCGUAGAGAUCUGGAGGAAUACCGAUGGCGAAGGCAGCCAUCUGGCCUAAUACUGACACUGAGGUGCGAAAGCAUGGGGAGCAAACAGGAUUAGAAACCCUAGUAGUCC